Molecule: long non-coding RNA, 226 nt
Filed under: Hordeum vulgare
Lineage: Eukaryota; Viridiplantae; Streptophyta; Magnoliopsida; Poales; Poaceae
Description: long non-coding RNA (HVUL_LNC014859)
Source: RNAcentral
UAGUUGCAACAAUAAGAUCAAACAGAGUUUGUCAAAGUUUUUCUUUCUCUCUCAGUUUGUCAACCGAGUUGCUUGAGGACAAGCAAGGUUUUAAGCUUCGGGGAGUUGAUACGUCUCCAUCGUAUCUACUUUUCCAAACUCUUUUGCCCUUGUUUUGGACUCUAAUUUGCAUGAUUUGAAUGGAACUAACCUGGACUGACGCUGUUUUUAGCAGAAUUGCCUUGGU